RNAcentral lists this ribosomal RNA (27 nucleotides) under Campyliadelphus chrysophyllus. RNAcentral's name for it is "partial 25S ribosomal RNA". The record is from RNAcentral. Lineage: Eukaryota; Viridiplantae; Streptophyta; Bryopsida; Hypnales; Amblystegiaceae.
CAGACCUCUAGUCGGAAAAGACUACCC